This 474-nucleotide ribosomal RNA is filed under the name Euphrosine aurantiaca. RNAcentral's name for it is "partial large subunit ribosomal RNA". It matches the Rfam family "Archaeal large subunit ribosomal RNA", at positions 1934 to 2652 of the family's 2987-position model. The record is from RNAcentral. Lineage: Eukaryota; Metazoa; Annelida; Polychaeta; Eunicida; Euphrosinidae.
CUUAUAAAAAGUAAUUUCUGCCCAGUGAGAAUUUAAACGGCCGCGGUACCCUGACCGUGCAAAGGUAGCAUAAUAGCUUGCCUUCUAAUUAAAGGCUUGUAUGAAUGAACCAACGUGAGCUUAGCUGUCUCUUCUACGCACCGAUAACUUAACCUUAAUGUGAAAAGGCAUUAAUAAAAUUAAAAGACAAGAAGACCCUGUCGAGCUUAAUUGUAACUUUCUCCAGAGAGAAAUAAUUUUAAUCUCUCACCACAACCAUCAAUUUAGUUGGGGCAACACAGGAACAAACAAACCUUCCUACAAACAACUUAAUUUAUUUUAACUUUCCAACACCGUUGAACUUAAAAUAAAAGCUACCGCAGGGAUAACAGGUUAAUUUUUCUCGAAAGUACACAUUAACAGAAAAGUUUUACACCUCGAUGUUGGCUUAGGCUAUCCUAUUAGUGCAGAAGCUAAUAAAGGCAGGUUUGUUCA